GACGAACGCUGGCGGCGUGCUUAACACAUGCAAGUCGAACGGAAAGGCCCUGCUUUUGUGGGGUGCUCGAGUGGCGAACGGGUGAGUAACACGUGAGUAACCUGCCCUUGACUUUGGGAUAACUUCAGGAAACUGGGGCUAAUACCGGAUAGGAGCUCCUGCUGCAUGGUGGGGGUUGGAAAGUUUCGGCGGUUGGGGAUGGACUCGCGGCUUAUCAGCUUGUUGGUGGGGUAGUGGCUUACCAAGGCGUUGACGGGUAGCCGGCCUGGGAGGGUGACCGGCCACAUUGGGCCUGAGGUAGGGCCCGGACUCCUACGGGAGGCAGCAGUGGGGAAUAUUGCACAAUGGGCGGAAGCCUGAUACAGCAACGCCGCGUGCGGGAUGACGGCCUUCGGGUUGUAAACCGCUUUCGCCUGUGACGAAGCGUGAGUGACGGUAAUGGGUAAAGAAGCACCGGCUAACUACGUG
RNAcentral lists this ribosomal RNA (468 nucleotides) under uncultured bacterium. RNAcentral describes it as "partial 16S ribosomal RNA". It matches the Rfam family "Bacterial small subunit ribosomal RNA", at positions 28 to 507 of the family's 1533-position model. The record is from RNAcentral.